UUCUGCUAGAAGCACUCCUAUCACCAGUUGCCUUUAUCCAAAGAUUAUGCUCUAAAUCAAUUCUAAAUGUUUAAUUUUUUUAUUUUUGGUAGUUGGUUACCAGACAAAGCUUCAAGACUCCUUACGGAUGAGAUAGAAAAACUAUUUAAAGACUCACCUACUUGGGGCCAGAUGUCACCAAAUCGCCAGAGACAGAUCUAUUAUGCAUUUAAGGAAAAAUGUGUCUGGCGCCCGGAACAUGAGAAGCAGCUAGCCUAAAACUUCAAGAAGAAAGCUCAGCGCUUACUAAGUGACAUGUUAGGAAGGGUUCGCGAAUCUAAUAAGAAGCCCAAGUGGAUCCUUCCUGAAAACUAUGCCAAGCUACUUCAUUACUGGGCAACUAAUGAAAGAUUCUUACAACUAAGUGACAUAGGGAAGAAGGCUAGAAAUUCGACGAAAGGUGGCUCCCUACACACUAGUGGGGCUAUGAGCCAAGAGGCCGUGAGGAGGAAGCUGGCAAGUCUACCUUAAGUGUACUUAAUCAAUAUCAACAUUCAAAGGCGGAGUUUCUUCGUACUCAGCCACCCAACACACAACUGAUAGAAGAACAAAGGGAGGAAAGGUGGCUUGCGAGUGUUGGUGGUCCCACUAGGUUUGGCAUAGCUUACGGAAUGCCACAUCAUGCAUUUCGUCAAUACCGGUCGCCCCUGGAAGGCCUACAUUCUUCCAAUACCGAGUCGUUUGAUAGAGUGAGUGCUAUGGCCAUGGAGCAAAAGAUUGCCGGGCUAUCUAGCCAACUACAGGACUCAGAGGAAAGGGAGAGGCGAAGGGAUAUGCAGUUUGACGGUAUGAGGGCCCAAUUAGACGCAUUACUUGCUUCGAGGGGGAUUCCCUCAUGUGCUGAUGAUGCUCGUAACCCCCAUACUCAAUCUAGUGGUGCGGAUGAUGAUGGGACUCACGUGUCAAACACACAAAGGCAUGUUUGAAUGUUAAUGUUGUGGUGGAUUUGUGGAUUGUGUAAGUGUUUUGUGGAUGUUUGCGAGGGGUGAAGUAGUCUAGUGUUGUAGACUAACUUAGUGUAGAUUAGUUUAAUGUUUUGUGGAUGUUUGCAAAGUUUGAAGUAGUUUAAUGUCUCUUUUGAAUGUUUGAAUGACGUUUUGAUUCAACUUUAAAGUAGUUUCGAAUUGAAUUUGAUGUAUUGGUGGUUGUAGUAUAUGUGUUUGUUGAAGUAACUUAA
Long non-coding RNA from Lycium ferocissimum, 1216 nucleotides. RefSeq lists it as uncharacterized. The transcript has 3 exons. NCBI's taxonomy places the organism in Eukaryota, Viridiplantae, Streptophyta, Magnoliopsida, Solanales, Solanaceae. The record is from RefSeq and is a predicted model, not a curated record.